CAUAUUUAUUGAGCGUUAUUUUUGGUUACUAAUAGUUGUGGAUAGGAUUUGUGUCUACUGGUUUGUCCUAUUUGAGGUCCUUUACCUCUCCUUUGUCAAAGAGAAGCAUUGGGAACACACAAUGGGCGACAUAGCUCAGGAGACAGACUCCCUGCAGCAGCUAUAAAGAUGUGCAAGCCUCCAGCGCGACACUUGCACAGCACAAGGAAUCUGAUUAAGUACUGACUGAGAGGAGGCACUGGCUGCCUGCAUGUGCUUC
Anguilla anguilla (European eel) is the source of this 259-nucleotide long non-coding RNA. RefSeq lists it as uncharacterized. The transcript is spliced from 3 exons. Lineage: Eukaryota; Metazoa; Chordata; Actinopteri; Anguilliformes; Anguillidae. The record is from RefSeq and is a predicted model, not a curated record.